This is a non-coding RNA of Mus caroli (Ryukyu mouse), 304 nucleotides long. The record is from RefSeq and is a predicted model, not a curated record. Lineage: Eukaryota; Metazoa; Chordata; Mammalia; Rodentia; Muridae.
UGCGGGCAGCUUUGGCUCGCACUGGGCUUUCAUGACCUUGCUCUGAGCAGAGACACUGGUGAGGCCAAGGGCUCCGUCCUCAUCCUGCUGAGAGAUCAUUUUAUCUCCUCCGCCGCCUUCUCAGCCAUUUGAUCCCAUACCGCCGCUUCACUCCUGGGAAAGGAUCUACCAUAUUUUGAAGAUCCAAUGUUUUGGAUUGCCAUAUGGAGAGAGAUGAGGAACUCUGUGUUCUGAAGUAGACAGCAUCUCCUGUGAGAUUUGAAUAAAAGAAUAAUCGGGACCUCAACAGGAGAGAUUGUGAAGU